GUGUCAGCCGCCGCGGUAAGACGUAGGGUGCAAGCGUUGUCCGGAUUUACUGGGCGUAAAGGGCGCGUAGGCGGCCCGUUAAGUGUGAAGCUAAAGCUCCAGGCUCAACUUGGAAAUUAUUUCGCAUACUGGCGGGCUAGAGGAACGCAGAGGUAACUGGAAUUCCCGGUGUAGCGGUGAAAUGCAUUGAUAUCGGGGGGAACUCCAACAGCGAAGGCAGGUUACUGGGCGUUAUCUGACGCUGAGGCGCGAAAGCGUGGGUAGCAAACAGGAUUAGAUACCCGUGUAGUCC
This 292-nucleotide ribosomal RNA is filed under the name uncultured bacterium. Its description in RNAcentral is "partial 16S ribosomal RNA". It matches the Rfam family "Bacterial small subunit ribosomal RNA", at positions 505 to 796 of the family's 1533-position model. The record is from RNAcentral.